RNAcentral lists this non-coding RNA (27 nucleotides) under Cricetulus griseus (Chinese hamster). Lineage: Eukaryota; Metazoa; Chordata; Mammalia; Rodentia; Cricetidae. The record is from RNAcentral.
UUGGAAACCUGAGAAACUAUGAUGGGA